UGUUGCUAAGGUAGCAGCAACCAUUUCUGAUGACGGGCAUUGUUUAUUUCAUGAUGGGUUUGAACUGGGGUGUCCUUUCGCGCACUUUCCUCCCAAUAGUGUCCCAAAUAUGCUCGAUAUGGUUGAAAUCCGGGCUACGAUCGUGCCAAGGAAGAUGAACCGAAUUCCAUUUGAACAUUGGAUCUUCCUCCACGAUGCUAAUUUCCAACUUUGGCGAACUCUGCACAACAUUGGAUACGGAAAACUGUGUGUCUGUUCGUUAGCAAAGGUCUCCGAAAUGGUCUUAUCGCACGAUAACCAGAAGCGAUGAGUCGAUCUCGAACAGUUCUUGUUAAAAGGCUCCUGUAUGGCCACCACUCUCUUUUUAGGAUUGUCUUGUAUGCAAUGGGUUUCCUUCUGACCAACCUUCAUUAUGCUUGAUUUUUCUUAGCAAAUGGUAUAGGGGGUCUUCAUUAUC
RNAcentral lists this long non-coding RNA (457 nucleotides) under Mytilus galloprovincialis (Mediterranean mussel). Lineage: Eukaryota; Metazoa; Mollusca; Bivalvia; Mytilida; Mytilidae. The record is from RNAcentral.